This 1587-nucleotide long non-coding RNA is filed under the name Callithrix jacchus (white-tufted-ear marmoset). RNAcentral's name for it is "lncRNA (ENSCJAG00000074507.1)". Lineage: Eukaryota; Metazoa; Chordata; Mammalia; Primates; Cebidae. The record is from RNAcentral.
CAGCCUCUCAAAGUGCUGGGAUUACAGGCAUGAGCCACCAUGCCCGGCUGGAAUUUAAUUCUUUAUUUGUUUCCCAGCUUAAACAUUUUAAAGGUAUAGAAAUGCUACCGAUUUUUGUGCAUUGAUUUUGUAUCUUGACACUACUGAGGUUAUUAAUCAGGUCUAGGAGUCUUUAGGGUUUUCUGUGUAUACAGUGAACAGAUAACUUGACUUUCUCUUUUAUUUCUUUCUCUUGCCCGAUAGCUCUGGCUAGGACUUCCAGUACUUGGUUGAACAGUAGAGGAAACAGCUCCAGGAGAUGGAAAACCAGCUGCCUUCAUCAGAAACUCACAGGUGGCAUUUCUAUGGGGAGUCAACACAAGCAUUGGCUGGAAAGCCGAUACCUACAAGAUGGCACUUGGACAUGCUGAAGGAAGGAGCCUCAAGGUCUCUCUGUCCUCCCCACCCGGCUGUCUUUCCCUAAACCUUUAUCUCCCUGAGAUCCAGACCCAAGAGAAACAAUUGUUUCUCCUUUCCCUCCCUGUAAGACCAAGAAGUAACCACACCUGAACAGGCUUUUUCACAAGAUAAUGUACCAGUUAAUCUUUGUUGCCUGAUCCAUUCAUCCACCUUGGUGUUGGGGGAGACAGGGGAAAAGAGAAAGAGAAUGAUGAAUGAGACCCAGUCCUUGCCCUGGAAGGGCAAACAGUAGCUCUUCCACAGAGUGAUCCUCAACGGAUGGCUCUUCUCUCUGCUCCCAUAACCUGUUUUGCCAGGAUGGUAUAUAGGCUUCUGAACCCCGCUGGGAGGUGGACAGUCACUCUCUGAUUCUCCUCGUGUAUACACAGUGAAUAAAUUUGUAUGCCCUGCUAUUAAUCUGCAUCUUGUCAGUGGUUUUUCAGCGACUCUUCGGGAAGGCCACAGGGAACAUAUCCCUUGGCUCUUACACUAAUGUGUUGUAUUUCUCCAAAUAUAUGUGAGAUUAUUUUUGGCCAGAACUCAAGCUUCUGCUUCUUGAAUGUCCCACUCAGCUGAGAAGCAAAAUACAUAGUUGAUGUUUAAUACCUAUUUCAUCAUUAAUCACUGUAUAUGUAUAUUCCCUAAGUAUAAUGCUGAUGGACAAUCCAACCCAGACUCUGCCCUUUUGAUUUGUGGGAAGAUUGUGUCCCCAAGAAUGUUUUAUUUUGCCACUGAGAAGUGAAUUCCAGGAGAAUCAAAGUAGUUUGAAAAAGGGGGAAAUGGCAGACCUUUCUUAAAACUGUCUGGAAGCUGCCAGAAUCGUAGGCUAUCAGGGCUAGAAAAGACUUGGGAAUCAUCUGGUCCAUCCUCAUUUUACAGUGAAGGCCCAAAGACUUCCUUAAAGAUACAGCAAGGUGCCAAGCUGGGACUCCUAACCAAACUCUUUUCAUUAUUUUUCAUAACUUCUCUGAUUUCUCCAGAGUCAACUUUCCUCACAAUCUGAAUGAAAGCCCUCUCCCCAGAGGCUGUUUGGGCUGCCGGGAAUCUACGGGAAUCCGUGCAUCUACUUCUUACCAAGGUCGCUCUGCAGAGUUACUGCCAGGGGCCAGGUGGCCUGGCACGAGAUCUGAGAUUCGGCAUCCUUUGCCG